GACGAACGCUGGCGGCGUGCUUAACACAUGCAAGUCGAACGGAAAGGCCCUGCUUUUGUGGGGUGCUCGAGUGGCGAACGGGUGAGUAACACGUGAGUAACCUGCCCUUGACUUUGGGAUAACUUCAGGAAACUGGGGCUAAUACCGGAUAGGAGCUCCUGCUGCAUGGUGGGGGUUGGAAAGUUUCGGCGGUUGGGGAUGGACUCGCGGCUUAUCAGCUUGUUGGUGGGGUAGUGGCUUACCAAGGCUUUGACGGGUAGCCGGCCUGAGAGGGUGACCGGCCACAUUGGGACUGAGAUACGGCCCAGACUCCUACGGGAGGCAGCAGGGGGGAAUAUUGCACAAUGGGCGGAAGCCUGAUGCAGCAACGCCGCGUGCGGGAUGACGGCCUUCGGGUCGUAAACCGCUUUCGCCUGUGACGAAGCGUGAGUGACGGUAAUGGGUAAAGAAGCACCGGCUAACUACG
Molecule: ribosomal RNA, 466 nt
Filed under: uncultured bacterium
Lineage: Bacteria
Description: partial 16S ribosomal RNA
Rfam family: Bacterial small subunit ribosomal RNA
Source: RNAcentral